RNAcentral lists this unclassified non-coding RNA (384 nucleotides) under uncultured bacterium. RNAcentral describes it as "contains 16S-23S intergenic spacer region". The record is from RNAcentral.
UCCCCGUUUAAGCGAGGCAGUCUGUCCAGAGUGCUCCAAUCUCUCGAUCGGGUGGCAACAGGACAUAGGGGUUGCGCUCGUUGCGGGACUGAACCCAACAUCUCACGACACGAGCUGACGACAACCAUGCACCACCUGUCACCAUUGCCCCGAAGGGAAGCUCUAUCUCUAGAGCGGUCAAUGGGAUGUCAAGCCUUGGUAAGGUUCUUCGCGUUGCUUCGAAUUAAACCACAUGCUCCGCUGCUUGUGCGGGUCCCCGUCAAUUCCUUUGAGUUUUAGCCUUGCGGCCGUACUCCCCAGGCGGGGCACUUAAUGCGUUAGCGUCGGCACGGGAGGAGUCGACACCUCCCACACCUAGUGCCCAUCGUUUACGGCGUGGACUAC